CCCUCCGGGGUGCACCAGUCAGCGUAAAAGUCUAUUAUCGCGGGGAGCUCUCCCUUGUAAUUCCAGUCCUUGUUUGCUUCAAAAUCAAAAACUUUUUCCUUGAACGUAUCCUUCGUCAGCUGUUCCAUGUUCAACCUCAUCGUGCAGCGCAAUACCGCCGCUCUGUAUUUUAGCAUUUUAACAAUAUCUAUAAUACAUAAAAUACGAUUGAUCGUCAAGUGCCGGAGAAAAAUUUUUGGGGUGAAUUUCUAUAAAAAAAUACAUGUCAGCAUAAGAUCCUGCACUCCGGAAGGUGUAGACCCUCCUGUCCCCCGUAGGGGGCACGAAUUAAAGGGCUGAUUUUUAAUGGAGUUGAAUGAAUACUAUGUUGUGAUUUGAUAAUUAUUAAUUUUAUAGAGGAAUUGGCGGGAGAGC
RNAcentral lists this ribosomal RNA (414 nucleotides) under uncultured prokaryote. RNAcentral describes it as "partial 16S ribosomal RNA". The record is from RNAcentral.